This 1218-nucleotide long non-coding RNA is filed under the name Setaria italica (foxtail millet). RNAcentral describes it as "long non-coding RNA (SITA_LNC005037)". Lineage: Eukaryota; Viridiplantae; Streptophyta; Magnoliopsida; Poales; Poaceae. The record is from RNAcentral.
CGGGAAAUGGAUGCGCAGAGCGGGAUUACUUGCAUGGAUUGGAAUUCGGUAGCAUUAUGUUUGCAUAUAUUUCGUUGAAAUGUCUAGUCACCACAAAAUCAAUAGCUAUUGGCUCUGCGAAAUUGACCUUCAGUGAACAACAUAUCCGACAUUUCUUUUCUGCAAUAGGCAAUAGGUUUAGAUACUGCUGAAAAUGUUCUGUAGGUCCGUGCAUAACAUGCAGUUCUGUGUAUGGCUGUCGUGUUCAUGAAACCUUCCUUUUAACAAUUACAUGCUUAUCAGCUUAUGCUGUUACAGGCUGACUAUGAUUUUGAGAUGUUCCAAAUGAUUAGAAUGGUUGCUUUGAGAUGUUAUGUUGUGACAUUCUAUCUGUGACUUAUGUUGUUUUUAUUUGCCAGAAUCUAGGGAAGAAGUUUGUAGUUCUCUCCAGUUGGCCGCCACCAUUUCCAGGGCCUUCCACCAUUGGUCCAAUAAAUUAUUGGUGUUGUACUUAAGGUAUGUGUAUCACUGACAUCCCGCAUUUCUUCUGCUGAUCAUAAGCUGCUAAAUUAACUUAGGUUACAUGUACUCUGCACGGUUGCUGAAUAUUCCAGACGUUUCUUUUAAGGAUUCGUAACCGCCCAGCCAUUCAGUUUCGACUUUGCUUGUCUUUCCGUUGCUAUAUGGUUAAGGGCAAUGGUGAUUAUUUUCUAGUUUGUCGUAUUUGCCAGGUUUACAUUCUUCAUGUUGUAAAUUAUUGCCUUUUUUGGGUCAUGAUUUUUUCUAUUGAGAUCAUUUGAGCACCAAGGAAAUACAGUAAAUCCUUGGGGAAACAUAGAAAUAGAAAUGGAUGUGCAGCGCGGGAGUACUUUCAGUAUCAUUAUGGUUGCAUAUAUUUCGAUUAAAAGUCUAGCCACAACAAAAUCAAUAGCCAUCGGCUGUGUGAAAUUGACCUUCAGUGAACAACAUGUUCAACAUUUCUUUUCUGCAGUAGGCAAUAGGAUUAGAUGCUUCUGAAAAUGUUAUGUAGGUCCGUGCAUAACAUGCAGUUUCGUGUAUGGCUGUCGUGUUCUCGAAACAUAUUCUUUUCAACAAUCACUUGCUUAUCUGCUUAUGCUGAUACAGGCUCACUAUCAUUUUGAGAUGUUCCAAAUGAUUAGAAUGGUUGCUUUGAGAUGUUAUGUUGUGACAUUCUAUCUGUGGCUUAUGUUGUUUUUAUUUGCCAGAAUCUAGGGAAGC